UGUUGUAAUGACCCCUCCCCUUACACCCCUUUUGGCCCCACCCACUAUCACUGUCCCAUCACCUCACCUGUGUUAUCUUCUCUGAUUUACCCCCGUGACUCUGCACUGACCCUGAAACACCUGAAAUAUGUAGGUCAGGUGUCCAAAUUUGAUGUGUCAACCCAGAUUUGACCUUGAAAGUGUCCCAGGGGAUGGGACAGUUUGGUGUCGACACUGACAGACACCACAGGGUAUGACCAUAAAUACGCCCUCAGCCGACAGACCGGGAGUAAAAAGGAUAAGAGGAAAGGAGGAAGGAGGGGAAGAGGAAACAAGGACAUGAAAGAAGGAUGAACAGGAGAGGAGGAGGAAACACAGAAGGAGACAAGGAAACAUGAGAGGAUAAGAAAGAAACAAAGAGAGGAGACAAGGAAACAUGAGAGGAUAGUUAAAAAACAGAACGAAACAAUGAGAGGAGACAAGGAAAGUACAAAGACACGUUUAUACAUGAAUGACUAGGAGUCUGGUUAUAUCUGUGGCUUUAGUGGAUGUCAGUCAUCGAAAAAAUAUUAAAAACACACACAAAAAUAAAUGAAUAUGCAUCUGUGGGUGGUUUAGAAAGACUUCGCAGACACAGAAAAAGGAAUUAUAGGAAAUGUUGACCUUCAGAAAACAGCAGAAUUUUCCUUUAAAAGCUUAACUCAAACACACACAGCAGAGACAGACAGACACACACACACACACACACACAAAAAGACACACACACAAACAGAGCCUGUGGUUACCUGUGGUGG
This is a long non-coding RNA of Sphaeramia orbicularis (orbiculate cardinalfish), 773 nucleotides long. RefSeq lists it as uncharacterized. The transcript has 3 exons. The record is from RefSeq and is a predicted model, not a curated record. NCBI's taxonomy places the organism in Eukaryota, Metazoa, Chordata, Actinopteri, Kurtiformes, Apogonidae.